AAAUAAAGAACAUUUCCAUCACCCCAAAAGUUCUGUCAGCCCCUUUCAGUCAGUUUCUACCUUCAAUGUUUAAGUCAUUGGCCAUUGAUGCUUAACUCAGUCUCCAGCUUCUCUCCCCUCCGCAGAAGACUAGGGUAAGGCUGAAAGUUCCAACCAUCUAAUUACAUGGUUGGUCCUUCCAGCAACCAACUCCCAUCCUAAAGCUAUGUAGAGGCCCACUGAGACUCACCUUAUUAGCAGAAAGUCAGGCACGAUUGAAAGAGGCUUGUUUCAAAUAGCAAAGGACAGUCCUGUUACGGCUGUCACUCAGGAAGUUCCAAGGUUUUGUUUUUGUUUUGAG
This 340-nucleotide long non-coding RNA is filed under the name Homo sapiens (human). Its description in RNAcentral is "non-protein coding lnc-DHX35-6:5". Lineage: Eukaryota; Metazoa; Chordata; Mammalia; Primates; Hominidae. The record is from RNAcentral.